AUGGAGAAGAAGAGGGUGGCCAUCAUCGGAGCCGGCGUGAGUGGCCUCACCGCCUGCAAGCACGCGUUGGAGCACGGCUUCCGGCCUGUCCUGUUCGAGGCCGAAGCGGACGCCAUCGGCGGCGUGUGGGCGCACACGCUCGCCUCAACGCGCCUUCAAACACCACGGCCAUACUACCAGUUCACGGACUUCCCAUGGCCGCCGGGAGUGUCGGAUUUGUACCCGGGUCAUAAACAGGUCACCGAGUACCUGCGCUCGUACGCGCGCCACUCCGGCGUGCUAGAGUGCAUCAGGUUCGGCAGCCGGGUCGCCGCCCUGGAGUACACCGGCGCCGCCAACGAGGAGGAGAUGAUGGCGUGGGAUCAGUGGGCCGGCAACGGCGAGGCCUUCGGCAGCGGUCGCGGCGAGUGGCGGCUCACGGUGCAGCGCGGGGACGACGUUGAGAUCCACGAGGCCGACUUUGUGGUUCUAUGUGUCGGACGGUUCAGUGGCAUGCCCAGCGUUUCCACUUUCCCGCCGGGGAAAGGGCCAGAGGCCUUCGAUGGCACCGUGAUCCACUCCAUGGAUUACUCCAACAUGGACAAUGCAAAGGCCAUCGAACUCAUCAAAGGCAAGCUCGUCACCGUCAUCGGUUACCAAAAGUCUGCUCUCGACAUCGCCACAGAUUGCGCAAAUGUGAAUGGCCCGGCGUAUCCAUGCACAGUGAUAUGUCGUACGAAGCAAUGGAUCAUCCGUGGCUACAACGCAUGGGAUGUCCCGAUUGGUUUCUUCUAUCUCAAUCGCUUUUCUCAACUUCUAAAACACAAGCCAGGGGAGGGGCUGCUCUUUGGCCUUCUGGCCACGUUAUUAUCACCCUUGAUGUUCUUAACUGUAUGUAAUAUUUGA
This 885-nucleotide ribosomal RNA is filed under the name Triticum aestivum (bread wheat). RNAcentral's name for it is "partial small subunit ribosomal RNA". The record is from RNAcentral. Lineage: Eukaryota; Viridiplantae; Streptophyta; Magnoliopsida; Poales; Poaceae.